AGAGUUUGAUCAUGGCUCAGAACGAACGCUGGCGGCGUACUUAACACAUGCAAGUCGGACGAGAAAGGAAGCUUCGGCUUCUGAGUAAAGUGGCGCACGGGUGCGUAACACGUAAGUAAUCUGCCCUGGACUCUGGGAUAACUCCCCGAAAGGGGGGCUAAGACUGGAUAGAGACCUGAGGUGCAAGCCUUGGGAGGAAAACAGGCCUCUGCAUUAUGCUUGUGGUCCAGGAUGAGCUUGCGGCCCAUUAGCUAGUUGGUGGGGUAAUGGCUCACCAAGGCAACGAUGGGUAGCUGGUCUGAGAGGAUGAUCAGCCACACUGGCACUGAGAUACGGGCCAGACUCCUACGGGAGGCAGCAGUGGGGAAUUUUGCGCAAUGGGCGAAAGCCUGACGCAGUAACGCCGCGUGGAGGAUGAAGGCCUUCGGGUUGUAAACUCCUGUCAGAGGGAACGACGGUAGUGGAGUAAAUAACUCUACCUGCUAGACGGUACCCUCAAAGAG
This 503-nucleotide ribosomal RNA is filed under the name uncultured Geothermobacter sp. RNAcentral describes it as "bacterial SSU rRNA". It matches the Rfam family "Bacterial small subunit ribosomal RNA", at positions 8 to 489 of the family's 1533-position model. Lineage: Bacteria; Pseudomonadati; Thermodesulfobacteriota; Desulfuromonadia; Desulfuromonadales; Geothermobacteraceae. The record is from RNAcentral.